ACACGACCGUACCGCAAACCGACACUGGUGCGCGAGAUGAGUAUUCUAAGGCGCUUGAGAGAACUCAGGAGAAGGAACUCGGCAAAUUGACACCGUAACUUCGGAAGAAGGUGUGCCUUUAGUAGGUGAAGUCCCUCGCGGAUGGAGCCCAAUGAGGUUGCAAAAAAUCGGUGGCUGCGACUGUUUAUUAAAAACACAGCUCUCUGCAAACACGAAAGUGGACGUAUAGGGUGUGACGCCUGCCCGGUGCUGGAAGAUUAAAUGAUGGGGUGCAAGCUCUUGAUUGAAGUCCCAGUAAACGGCGGCCGUAACGAUAACGGUCCUAAGGUAGCGAAAUUCCUUGUCGGGUAAGUUCCGACCUGCACGAAUGGCGUAACGAUGGCCACACUGUCUCCUCCUGAGACUCAGCGAAGUUGAAAUGUUUGUGAUGAUGCAAUCUCCCCGCGGAAAGACGGAAAGACCCCAUGAACCUUUACUGUAGCUUUGUAUUGGACUUUGAACAGAUCUGUGUAGGAUAGGUGGGAGGCUUUGAAGCAGGGUCGCUAGAUCUUGUGGAGCCAACGUUGAAAUACCACCCUGGUGUGUUUGAGGUUCUAACCUAGGCCCGUAAUCCGGGUUGGGGACAGUGUAUGGUAGGCAGUUUGACUGGGGCGGUCUCCUCCCAAAGUGUAACGGAGGAGUUCGAAGGUACGCUAGUUACGGUCGGACAUCGUGACGAUAGUGCAAUGGCAUAAGCGUGCUUAACUGCGAGACUGACAAGUCGAGCAGAUGCGAAAGCAGGACAUAGUGAUCCGGUGGUUCUGUAUGGAAGGGCCAUCGCUCAACGGAUAAAAGGUACUCUGGGGAUAACAGGCUGAUACCGCCCAAGAGUUCAUAUCGACGGCGGUGUUUGGCACCUCGAUGUCGGCUCAUCUCAUCCUGGGGCUGUAGCCGGUCCCAAGGGUAUGGCUGUUCGCCAUUUAAAGAGGUACGUGAGCUGGGUUUAAAACGUCGUGAGACAGUUUGGUCCCUAUCUUCCGUGGGCGCUGCAGAUUUGAGGAAGCCUGCUCCUAGUACGAGAGGGCCGGAGUGGACGCACCUCUGGUGUAUCGGUUGUCACGCCAGUGGCAUUGCCGAGUAGCUAUGUGCGGAAGAGAUAACCGCUGAAAGCAUCUAAGCGGGAAACUCGUUUCAAGAUGAGAUCUGCCGGGGCCUUGAGCCCCCUGAAGAGUCGUUCAAGACCAGGACGUUGAUAGGUCGGGUGUGGAAGCGCAGUAAUGCGUUAAGCUAACCGAUACUAAUUGCUCGUGCGGCUUGACCU
RNAcentral lists this ribosomal RNA (1300 nucleotides) under metagenome. Its description in RNAcentral is "bacterial LSU rRNA". It matches the Rfam family "Bacterial large subunit ribosomal RNA", at positions 1636 to 2925 of the family's 2925-position model. The record is from RNAcentral.